Molecule: ribosomal RNA, 229 nt
Filed under: uncultured bacterium
Lineage: Bacteria
Description: partial 16S ribosomal RNA
Rfam family: Bacterial small subunit ribosomal RNA
Source: RNAcentral
UGCGUAGGCGGACUAAUAAGUCAGUGGUGAAAUCUUUCGGCUCAACCGAGAAACUGCCAUUGAUACUGUUAGUCUUGAGUUCGGUUGAGGUAGGCGGAAUGUGUAGUGUAGCGGUGAAACGCUUAGAUAUUACACAGAACACCAAUUGCGUAGGCAGCUUACUAGACCGACACUGACGCUGAGGCACGAAAGCGUGGGGAGCGAACAGGAUUAGAUACCCUGGUAGUCC